Molecule: ribosomal RNA, 206 nt
Filed under: uncultured bacterium
Lineage: Bacteria
Description: partial 16S ribosomal RNA
Rfam family: Bacterial small subunit ribosomal RNA
Source: RNAcentral
AGCGCAGGCGGUUUCUUAAGUCUGAUGUGAAAGCCCCCGGCUCAACCGGGGAGGGUCAUUGGAAACUGGGAGACUUGAGUGCAGAAGAGGAGAGUGGAAUUCCAUGUGUAGCGGUGAAAUGCGUAGAUAUAUGGAGGAACACCAGUGGCGAAGGCGGCUCUCUGGUCUGUAACUGACGCUGAGGCUCGAAAGCGUGGGAGCAAACA